This is a long non-coding RNA of Balaenoptera ricei (Rice's whale), 4340 nucleotides long. RefSeq lists it as uncharacterized. The record is from RefSeq and is a predicted model, not a curated record. The transcript has 6 exons. Lineage: Eukaryota; Metazoa; Chordata; Mammalia; Artiodactyla; Balaenopteridae.
CUAUUAAGUCAUGGAGGUGUCCUCUGGUGUUCAAACCUUAAGUAAAGAGAGUUUCCUGAGAACUUAGAAGAGCCUUUGUGGACAUUUGAUCUGAAGAAGUGGUCAGCAGCAAACCUCCUCAUGUUGGGCAUAACCAGGUGCCAUGAACCAGUCACGCAUACUGGUGGUUUUAAACUGAGCAGGGUUCUGGGAUGGGGAAGUGUGAGGCCACAUUCCCAAAGUUGCCAAAUUGCCAAAGUGUUGACUCAAGUCCUACGAUUCUCAGUUAAGGAGAAACAUGAAGAAAUUGGAGAAGGAUCGCUUAGGGAUUUUAGUUGGGAAUAAUUUAGUACGUAGGGAAGUUAAAGGGGUUGGAUAGGUAUUGAGAAAGCUGAGGAGUGAUUUCUAGGAACAGUUAUCCAGAAUGUAAAGAGCUCUUACCGAGAGGAUGACUCACACCCUCUCUUCUUAACAUGUGGACAGGGUCAGAGCUUCCACCUAAAGCAAGUCAAGAGAGUUUAACUGAGAUAUAAGGAGAAUGAUAUGAAGAGGGUCUUGCGCUAAUUCACGAUGUAUUCUUUGGAUUGACUUGUCUCUUUGGGAUAGCACAGGACUUAAAAUCUGUUUGGAGUGCGGUGACUACACUUUGAAGCAAUGUCACAAUAAAAACAGCAAUGCUUACCAACAUACAAUUGUUCAAUUAGUUUAAUCAUGUACCAUGAAAAGUCAAGUUUCUUGUUUUGAGUUAUUGGAAACAGGUGAAAUGUAUUGAUUCAAUGUAUUGGAAAAAUCCUCUAGGAAGCCCGGGACUUGGAGUAGGCCUUGGUCACAUUGCAGGGGAAUCACCAAGGGAGAUCACAGAAUCAUCACCUUUGGAAGUCUUUUAAAACAGAAACAUCUGCAUGAGCUGUGAGUUCUGAGUAAAGGGGAACAGCAGGGCACCCAGGAAGACAGCCUUUCUAAAGUUCCUUCUGAGCCUAAUAUUUUUAUAUGUAACCUCCAAACAGGAUCAACAAUAACAGUACUCCAGGCCUGCCCUCUUCCCCUUUGGACAUUUUUCCACAUUGAUUUUUCUCUGCAUCACAGAAGGCUUUUUCCAGGGAGUGCCUGCUCAGACUUUGUUUAGGUGACUUUGGGGAUGCCUGCAGGCUCCAGAGACCUUGUUGUUUGGGAGAAGAUAUCAGAAGGCUGCCAAUGAAAACUCUGAUUGGUGAGGAACAUGUACACUAAAAGAACAUUUCCAUAGAUGCAGCAUGUGAUGAUGGAGGCUACGUUUUACUUGAGGUAGAGGAGAAUUUUAAGGAAAGAUGAAACAGUUCAGCUCAGAGGACUCACACCUACUCUGGAGGACACAGAAAGAAGAGAAUUAGGAAAAUAGAUAAAGGACUUUUAGGUUAUUUUCCAACGCUAUUAAAAUCCAGAUAGUGACUAUUUUUUUUUUUUUUUUUUGUAGAAAUCAGUUAAUGUUUUGUGUUUUUUUCCAACCAAACUCAGCCAGAGUGUUCCUUUUUUUUAAUUUUUAUUUUAUAUUGGAGUAUAGUUGAUUUACAAUGUUAUGUUAGUUUCCGGUGUACAGAUAGUGACCUUUAUAAAAUGGUUUGAGAAGGAAAAGAAGUUACUAUAUCAAUGCAAUGUCUCACUAAGGGCAGGAAACAGUUUUCUGUGUGAAAGGCUUUUUUCCUCUCCUUCACUUAAAAAGUACAGCAACUAGUGGCCGCCCUCAUGGCUUAUGUAAGCUCACUGAUAGCUACAUAGCUAAGGUGAAAACAGAAGUCUUGAACCAGGCAGGGUGGCUGCAUCCACUUACAGGUGCUUGUGAUUCCCUUUGAUGUACCAGGCACUGUGUGCUAGGAGCUGGGGGUACAGUGUUAAGGUGGAACAAGCUGAAAACCUGGCGUGAUGACUGUUGUGAAGUGGGAUCAGUAGGAUGAUUUGGGAAUGUAAUCAGGGGGCUAAUCUAGUUGGUGGGAGGCUCCGAGGGAAAGCCACCAUGAGGAAGUGGUAGUUCAGCUGAGACUUGAAGGCUGAGUAGGAGUAAGCCAGGUGAAAGGGAGGCACAUUAAGGAAGGAGAAACAGCAUGUGCAAAAUACCUGAGACAAAUGAGAACCUUCCGUAUUCAAGGAAACUGAAAAAAGGAUUGUGAACAGCAAAGGAGAGCGCCUCCUGAGAUGGGCUAGCCAAGAAGGCAAGGCUGACCGAGAUACCAGCUCCUUUCUUCCUUGACAGUGAAAAAGAAAGAAGUAGCAGUGGUGCAAUUCUGGCUGAGGCUAUUGCCCAGAUUUGAGGUGUGCUGGUCUCAAAGCCCCCUUUCAUACCUGAUAGCUGAAAUGUGAUCAUCAGAUCUUCAACCCACUUAUUACUUCUUCCAGACAGCUAGAUGUUAGGUUACCAGCUUUUUUCUCCAGCUUUACUGAGGUAUAACAGACAAAACUGUAGGGUAUUUAAAGCGUACAACAUAAUGAUUUGAUAUACAUUGUGAAUGGAUGUCUAAAACUGAGUUUAUUAUUAACAAAAGGUUAAUAAUAAACACAAAGUUAUCAGCUUUUAAAUCUUAGGGCUAACAAACUCUUAACUCUACGUUUUGUCAUAGGUGUUGAGUUGGUACUGGGUGCCUGAGGGGGCAGGGGCCCCUGCGAUUUGUAGGGCCACUUUCCGUAGCCCCUUCAACCUUGCAGAAUGUCUGCUAUUACAGGAGUCAGCAUGACACUGUACAGCAGCUCUGCCCUGGCUCCAAAGACUGCAGCUUUUCUUUUUAGUUGAUUCCCAGCGCUGCCCUCUUCCUUCCAGGCCCUGGCCUGACGCUAUAGGGAAGUUGUGUAUCUCUUUCUUCAUUGAGAUUCCCUUUCUGAGAAUAACACUGGGCAAAAUUUCUCUGCUACUUUUGUCAUCUUCCCUUCUUUAAUAUCGUUCACUGGCUACACAAAUUUGCCCACUUUGACAUUCUCAACAUCCCCCUUCACCCAAGAACAAUCACUCCAUUGAACAACAGCAAGAAGAAGCAAUGAUAAAAAAUAAAAACAUAGCCUGAGUGAUCCACUACAGAGACAAUACAAGCCUUUGGGUGAAUUUAUACUAAAGUGUAAAUGACUGAAACAUGCAUACCUUCUCCAGUCUCCCUUGUGAAAAGUACAUUCUCUUUUGCAUAUUUUUAUUUUAAAGAAGUUUGCCUAUUAGCCUGAGGUUUUAAUUAGCCACUGAAUCAAAAUGAAGUCUUUCUAACUGCAUAAAGUAUUUUAGACCACAGGAUCAUUUUUUUCUGAAACCUUUGCCACCAGCAGGCAGCCACGAACAGUGCCAAAAGGAAUUAGACUCUGGACUGAUUUUCAUGUGUUAGUUAUUUUUUCCCUCUUCAAAAUCUAUCAACUGUUCGAACCUGCAUACACAAACAGGAACACUGGGGAGAAGAGUCCCAGAGGGUGGAAGAUCCCCUACUCCUCAUCCCACGUGCCUCACCUCAUGUCACACACCCCUCUCUCUCUCCCCUUGCUGAGGACCUGCCCCAAGGCCAUCCCAGCUGGUCUCAAGGCACUGACCGAGUCCUGCUUCGCAGCCGCUGGAAGUGCCAACCCACUCGCGUCCCCAAACCCGAUCCUUCCACGGGACACCCAGCUAGGGUCUACAGCGAGUGACCUUGCCGUGGGAGGCGCGGCCCCCAUCACCUGCCCAAGCCGGCGGAGCAGGGCCUGAAGCCCCGCGCGAUCAGCCAACCGGAGCUCCCCAGGCCGCUCUCCAGGAGCCAACUCAGGCGAGCACAGGACCCCCUGUUUGGGGUUAUUUGUUCGCCUCACUCCUGGUUCCUGCUCUCAAACCUUCCUCCCAGCAGCCGCCGCCAGCGCACCCGAACCGCAGGAAAGUUGCUCUCUAGCUGUGGAGGGGAGUCAUCGCCUCCUAGCAACGCUCCUAGCAACCGGUAACAUCUGCUCCCUCUGGUCCAAUGCGAGCCGAGAACAGCUGCGCGCCCGCCUCGCGUUGCGAACCCUGAGCGAGAGGAGCUUCAGAGACUGGAGGGACGGACCUGCAGGAGCCAGGGCAGCCCGCCGAGCUGCAGUUGCCGUGCUGCCACUGUCGCGCCGCCGCCGCCGUCGCUGUCGCCGUCAGCGCCCGUCUGAAGAGUGACAGCGCCGCAAAACGGGAGGGAGCACCGGAUCCGGCGCCUUUAUGAAACAGGUAGCCAUUCAUGAGCCCGAGGCUUUGAGAAAUGCUCGCUGUGCAGAGGGGAACUCUCACCAGAUUUUCUGAAGCUGUCCUAGAGAUACACUUUUCAGAUUGAUUCAGCAUUACCAGCUUAUCCAACAAAAGUAUUAACACAUACGUUAACAACGUCGAAAGUAGCCUACUUUAAGAGAAAAUAUGCAGAAGA